GACGAACGCUGGCGGCGUGCUUAACGCAUGCCAGUCGAACGGAAAGGCCCUGCUUUUGUGGGGUGCUCGAGUGGCGAACGGGUGAGUAACACGUGAGUAACCUGCCCUUGACUUUGGGAUAACUUCAGGAAACUGGGGCUACUACCGGAUAGGAGCUCCUGCUGCAUGGUGGGGGUUGGAAAGUUUCGGCGGUUGGGGAUGGACUCGCGGCUUAUCAGCUUGUUGGUGGGGUAGUGGCUUACCAAGGCUUUGACGGGUAGCCGGCCUGAGAGGGUGAACGGCGACAUUGGGACUGAGAUACGGCCCAGAGUCCUACGGGAGGCAGCAGUGGGGAAUAUUGCACAAUGGGCGGACGCCUGAUGCAGCAACGCCGCGUGCGGGAUGACGGCCUUCGGGUUGUAAACCGCUUUCGCCUGUGACGAAGCGUGAGUGACGGUAAUGGGUAAAGAAGCACCGGCUAACUACGUG
Molecule: ribosomal RNA, 468 nt
Filed under: uncultured bacterium
Lineage: Bacteria
Description: partial 16S ribosomal RNA
Rfam family: Bacterial small subunit ribosomal RNA
Source: RNAcentral